Aquila chrysaetos chrysaetos is the source of this 397-nucleotide long non-coding RNA. RefSeq lists it as uncharacterized. NCBI's taxonomy places the organism in Eukaryota, Metazoa, Chordata, Aves, Accipitriformes, Accipitridae. The transcript has 2 exons. The record is from RefSeq and is a predicted model, not a curated record.
UCUCCCUUCUAGGGACGCUGUUUGGUGCAGAGAAUAAUACGGCAUCAUGCUUCCUCGGAGGAAGCUUUGCAAGCAAGAGAGGGGAACCUGGCCUGGCUGCCCUGCCAGGCAGAAGAGAUGCUGCCAAGCAGCUCUGUUUUCCUGCUUCUAUUUCAGGGCAUGUCUUCUGUCUCCACAAGGAAUGGUACCCCAUCUGUUGAAGGGCAACUGAAGAAAAGCAAGGGGAGAUGUGACCUUUAUUUGACUGUCUGAACAGUGACACAGUUUUCAGAGAGAACAGAAAGAAGACUGCUGAAAUCAGCAGAUUUGGCUACAGAGCAGAGAGACACAGACUGCAAUCCUGCACUCACCCUCCAUCUUAUUUUAUAGCCAGGAAUAAAGACUAACUUGUACUGUG